Molecule: non-coding RNA, 1266 nt
Organism: Paramormyrops kingsleyae
Lineage: Eukaryota; Metazoa; Chordata; Actinopteri; Osteoglossiformes; Mormyridae
Source: RefSeq, a predicted model, not a curated record
AGAGACCGGAGGAAGCCAAAACCAUGUAGUACCCUUGGAGCUGGGGGAUAAGGGCCCAGAUAUAUAGUUAUUUUGCUGGGGUACAAACCAGCGACCUUCUGAUAACAGAAGAUCCUUCUGUCCCGUUCAGGAUUGUGGGGUUCUGGAACCAAUGGGUGCCAGGCAGCUGACAUCUCUGGAUGGGGCGCCAACCAAUCACAGGACACACUCACACGUCAAUCAGUCGCGCAUCCACACCUACGGGUGUGGUAACUCCAGUUAACCUCAGCAUGUUUUUUAUGAUUGUGAUGGAAAACCAGAGUACCGGGAUGAAAUGAGGAAAACAGGCAAAUUCCAGGCACACGGAGCUAUGGCACCAAUUCGAACCCUAGUCCCAGUUGUAUGAGGUUACGGUGCUAACUACUGCACCGCCAUACCACCCCUGCUGUAAAAUCAGGGGAUUUGGUAGUUCAUUAAACCCGCUUAAUAUUCUUGGAGAUUUUGUAGAAUCAGGUGAUGCGUCAUGUCUAGUUUCUAAUGUGAACUGGAGCAUGAGACGGAGACACAAAUAUGACUUUUAAUCACUAAUAAUCGUUCUCCAGGAAAAAAAAAAAGAAAAGAAAAGACACCUGGCCUACAUCGUAGGUUUCCAGCCUGGAACAACACUGCAAGUCAUGUGACGUUUGCAUAUGGUUCCGCAACAGCAGCAUUAUGGGAAACGUGGUCUCGUUGUCAUGCAACUAAAUGGACACACUUCAUGGAUGAUCUGAAACGUCACAGAUCCGGUGAACAGGAACCCAGCACCCAAAUGCUCGACCUGGCCUCCAUACGCAUCUAUAUGUGUCUCACCCCGCAUCUGUAACCCCCCCCCACCUUGACCCAAAAAUAAAUACGAGGUCUCAACACAGGUCAAACAGCAAUGGCCUGAGGAGAGGAGGCUGGCCAGCAAUCAUGGAGGCUGCACACAGCUCGGUCCCAGCAGAACCCUGGGAGCGAAACGUUGAUGUGUCAUAGAAAGUAACAGUCAUUAGAGGAAAAGGUCUAUUUCCCUUUCGGCUGGUGGGAGGUGCUGCACGCUGCUAAAGAGAAGGGCACUAUGGAACUCCGCUGUGUGACCUGCAGAACAAAAACACACACAGACCUAAUAAAACCCAAACACAAUGCAGAGAGCGACCGCGGCUAGACAAGCAGGUGAGGCUCAUGGGAGUUUUACUUACACAGAACGAAAGAAUGAUUGGUUCAGAGAUAUAACCAGUCAGAUUGUAGAGGAGGUAGGUCCGAGCAAGU